GUAGGUUUCCAACUUCCGAUGCAUUUUGGUUAGAUGUGGGCCCACGUGUCACUGUAAAAGAAAUUUUAUGCUUUGGUUAUUUGCUUUAUAGUAUAUAUAAAUAUAAUUAACUUUUACGCUAUAAGAAUUAUGUACCGAUAGUUUUAUGAAAAUUAUUUUAUAAGAAAAUAGUUUAUUUUAUUGAAUAUUUUUAUUAUAUUCAAAUGGUCAAAUUUUCACUUCAAAUGAAUGUUUUAGAUAUUUAAUUUGUUUUUAAAUCAUUAAAUAUAUAUUUUCGGCUUACUUACUACAUUUUUAGCAUGUUUCGAGAUUUUCGACAAAAAUGACGAAAAUGCCCCUGUGAGCCAAAAAAAAAUGUUAUGUUAUGAUUUGAAAAUGAUUUGUAAUCCUUCGUAUUUUGAUAUUUGAUAACUAUUGCUCACCAGGGAAGUGCGAAAGCUUAUACGAGAGCCUUGCGAGGUUUCGAUCGACAUUCGGGGUGAAGAAUGUUUGUCGAGGCUUCGCGGCGGUUGUCACGGGCUCGAUGGGGAGUUCCGGGUAGUGACACUACAAGCUAAUUUUGUGGUUGUAUGGGAAUUACAAUUUUGAGAUAUUCAUGUAUGACAUUUUGUUAUUCAUAAUAACAUUGAGGUAGUUCUUUAUCCAUAAGUUUGUAAUUUAAUUACUUUUUUUACUUAUGUAGAUCAUGGAACUAUAUAUGCCUUGUAAAGGAAUUGUAUUGGGAUACAAGUAUGAUAUCCUUAUGCAUUAAAGCAUUAUUCCUAAAAGUUUCUGAUCAUUGUAUUAUUGAGACAAGGCAUCAAUAAUGCUCAAAGAUUGGC
This 821-nucleotide long non-coding RNA is filed under the name Theobroma cacao (cacao). Its description in RNAcentral is "long non-coding RNA (TCAC_LNC002288)". Lineage: Eukaryota; Viridiplantae; Streptophyta; Magnoliopsida; Malvales; Malvaceae. The record is from RNAcentral.